GUCUACAGCCAUGCCACCCUGAACAGCCCCGAUGUCUGAUCUCGGAAGUUAAGCAGAGUCGAGUCUGGUUAGUAUUUGGAUGGGAGACCACCUAGGAAGAUCAGGUCUGUAGGCA
RNAcentral lists this ribosomal RNA (115 nucleotides) under Pteropus alecto (black flying fox). The record is from RNAcentral. Lineage: Eukaryota; Metazoa; Chordata; Mammalia; Chiroptera; Pteropodidae. RNAcentral also lists the same sequence under 1 other name.